AAUCAACGCUGGCGGCGUGCCUCAGACAUGCAAGUCGAACGCGAAAUUUCCCUUCGGGGAGAAAGUAGAGUGGCGCACGGGUGAGUAACACGUAGGUAAUCUACCUCUGGGUGGGGAAUAACAGCCGGAAACGGCUGCUAAUACCGCAUAAUGCAGCGGCACCGCAAGGUGACAGUUGUUAAAGCGGGGGAUCCUGAAAGGGACCUCGCGCCUGAAGAGGAGCCUGCGGCAGAUUAGCUAGUUGGUGAGGUAAUGGCUCACCAAGGCAACGAUCUGUAGCCGGCCUGAGAGGGCGGUCGGCCACACUGACACUGACAUACGGGUCAGACUCCUACGGGAGGCAGCAGUCGGG
This 352-nucleotide ribosomal RNA is filed under the name uncultured bacterium. Its description in RNAcentral is "bacterial SSU rRNA". It matches the Rfam family "Bacterial small subunit ribosomal RNA", at positions 32 to 359 of the family's 1533-position model. The record is from RNAcentral.